AACGCACGAGACCUGCGGACCUGCGGAGGGAUCAUUAAUGAGAAACUGCCCCUCGCGGGUAGAUCUCCCACCCUUUGUAAACUUACCUUUGUUGCUUUGGCAGGCCCGUCUCCGGACCGCCGGCUUCGGCUGGCCAGUGCCUGCCAGAGGAUUCUAAAACUCUGUCUGUCAGUGUUGUCUGAGUCUAUAUACAAUCGUUAAAACUUUCAGCAAUGGAUCUCUAGAUCGGAAGAGCACACG
RNAcentral lists this unclassified non-coding RNA (240 nucleotides) under soil metagenome. Its description in RNAcentral is "partial contains 5.8S ribosomal RNA, internal transcribed spacer 2, and large subunit ribosomal RNA". The record is from RNAcentral.